GGAUGGCUCCAGCCUGGUCCCAGGUCAUACCCCAUCCCUGGAGAGGGGAGCCAGGAGGAGCCUUCCUCCCAAGAGACUGGAGAGGAGGCAGUUGAGGGGAAGAGGAGGGGUUCCGAGGAGAGGAGGCCUGAAGGGACUGGCACCAGGCAGGACUUGGGUCAUGUUGGCAUAGAUUCACUUAGCCCCUUUGCCUCCCCCCAGAGGCCCGUUCUGUGGCAGGGCAGGCUGGUAGGGGUUGUUUACAUGGCUAAGUUAUUAACACUCCCUUCCUCCCCCAGCUCUCCUGAGGGUGGCCCGGACCUGACUGUGCCAGGGGAAAUGACUGCGGAGGGUCUAACACUGACUGCAAUCCCAAGGCCCCAAGCCCCAGCCUCUGCUCCCAGGCUGGCUCCAAGGAGCAGACGAGGGGCUGGGGAGUGCCUGUGGUCCCCCAUCUGUGUCCUCUGGCAGCUGAAGCUUGUGGGAGAGUCCGGGUUGGGGGGAGAUUCCUACAGCUUGGGGCCUGGAAGAGGCUGGGCAGGGCAGGGUCACCGUCUGUGGACUAGACCGGGACUCUCAGGACAGGCCCACCAAGCCUUGUAGCCGACUGUUCUGUGCCUGAAGACAGAGCAGAGCUGAG
Molecule: long non-coding RNA, 619 nt
Filed under: Equus caballus (horse)
Lineage: Eukaryota; Metazoa; Chordata; Mammalia; Perissodactyla; Equidae
Description: lncRNA (ENSECAG00000045755.1)
Source: RNAcentral